GACAACAGUUGAAGAUGUGCAUUAAAACCUCUUUAUUACUACUUCUGUCUCUGUUGUUCUGUGCUGCAGUCUCCGAAGGAACGCAGGACUUUGCUGUGAACGUCAACAAUGACGGCACCUACAACGUCGUUGUGAAGGGAGAUGUGUGGCUGAAGAGCGCUCCUACCUUCUUCAGAGCUGAUGGUCAAGUGUUCUCCUCUGCUGAUCUAUCUCUGAAGCUGGUCAAGAUUACUCAGUCCAGUGGUGUGGACGUCAUCGGGCAGUGGGAGGCCAACAGCUUCUUGUACCAGGCAGGGUCCAGUCAGAUCGAGGCCAGCUUUGUACAGUACACACCAGAUCCAAGCAUAUUCACCUACAACAAUCCGGCUGUACCGUUCAUAUUGUUCAAACAGCGUUACAUCAAUGGAGCAAACAACACCGCCUCCAACAAGACUGACUUCACCAUUUCUGGCUUUCCUGGAUUUCUAAUUCAAGAUUCAUCCAUUCCGCUGGGAUACCUUAGUUAUGGAGGAUCUCAGGGUGGUAGCAUUGGUCUCAAUGUUGGGCAAUGGGGACCAUCAUCGUUUGAAAUCGACGAUGGGAUUGAAGGUGGACCCCUGACGUUAUUUGAUCGCGUUAAGACUGCAAAUACACUGAUUAUCUCCCCUGCCAGUCGAUUUAUGUCGUCAUCAAUAUGGCGUCAGAGGUCCAGCACCGGCGGGGACAAUGUCUAUUGGGGGACGAUGGGAGGAGUUGAAGAUGUCCCUGUUGGCGUUGAAACUAGUUUUAUUCUUUUCUGUGGUAACCAAGGCAUUAACAAGGCCUCUGUAAGCUGGGGUCAGAUCUUACAGCGGUGGCAUGGCCGUACAGAUCAAUAUAUGAAGUCCGACUUUACCAUAAACUACUUAGGGUACUGGACGGACAAUGGUGCGUAUUACUACUACCGGACGGAGAAAGGAAAGAACCACCAGGACACAAUGUUGGAUAUCAAGAGCUACAUGGGGCAGAUAGGGGUACCCGUCAGGUACAUUCAGUAUGACGCAUGGUGGUACUACUGGGACAAUGAUCAUGGUGUUGUGACGUGGUCGGCGCAGCCCAAAAUCUUUCCAAAUGGAAUGCAGUGGCUUUAUAACAAGACACAGUAUCCCGUCGUGGCCCACAGCAUGUACUGGUCCAGCAAUACAACCUACGCAACUGCAAAUGGAGGAAAGUAUGAAUUCGUCAUCGAUGGUCCAAAGGCAUUGCCACUGGAAGAGAGAUUCUGGACUGAUUUGCUCGCCGAUGCAAGAAAAUGGGGUCUGUUUGUUUACGAACAGGAUUAUCUUCGUAAUGAAUUUGAAGGGAUCAAUAAGCUUCUGACUGACAUUGACCUUGGCCGCCAAUGGUUGACUCAGAUGGGCAAUGGAGCUGCCAAGAACGGACUGACCAUCCAGUACUGCAUGUCAUUCCCACGACAUUUGCUACAGUCUCUGGAAAUACCUGUUGUCACACAGUCUCGGGUAAGCCAUGACAACCGACCGAACACGGACAACUGGAAGAUAGGCGUUUCAUCGAUAUUUGCUUUGUCUCUGGGCGUUGUUCCCUACAAGGAUAAUUUUUGGACAACCAGCGUUCAACCCGGAAAUCGCUACAAUUUAUCGGAACCCCACACAUCACUUAAUGCUGUGGUUGCAACGUUAAGUACAGGCCCAGUGGGGAUUAGUGACAUGAUUGGAGGCACGAACAAGACACUCAUCAUGAAAUCUGUAAAUGCUGACGGCCUGAUCUUAAAACCAUCUCGACCGGCGACUGCAAUUGACAACAGAAUACGGAGGAUGGCCUGGUCAGACUUUGAGGGUCCUGAUGGGGAGGUAUGGUCCACGUAUUCAGAUUUUGGUGGAAAGAACAAGUACGGUAUCAUCCUCGCUGCUGAUCUUCAGGGAAGCUACAACAUGACACCUUGCAUGGCUGGAUAUCAAGGGUUUCCCAGUUCCAUGGUCUUCCCAGCCAAGGAUUCCAACAAGAUCCAGCCCUUGACAGACCCCCAGCCUUUGACAAUGAGUGGUUGUACCAUGACUGACUUCUGUCUCUUCUAUGUAUCACCGGUACUGACCGUCAAUGGCAAACAAGUUCUCAUCCAGGGUGAGUUAGACAAGUGGGUGCCCAUGUCACCCCAGAGAGUCACGGAUAUCAACAUUGCCGACGACAUCACCAUCAACCUCACUGGAGCAGCCCACGAAACUGUCUCCUUUUGGUUCAACGUGGAUGGUAAAUCCUCACCUGUGACCUGUACCCUCGGAGCAGCAGGACUGGCCACCCUCAGUUUCACAGCAGGCACAUGUCGCGGUGUAUAAAAACAUAUACAUGCAUGCCUAUUUUAAAUACAUACUUUAAAUGUUUAGCUUCAUAUUGAAUAAACGCUAUUCAUAUCGCUAACGCGCAAAUGCGCAAAUCCGGUCAUUCAUUUCACCAACGUAUUUCCUUUCUUUUGAAUGAAAGUCCAGCUAUUUAUCCUGUGAUUUAUAAUGAAUAUGUGUACAGGCCUCUGUUAAUAACUGCUCCUGUCCAGUAUUUUCCAUUUCAUAAUGAUGUUGUUGCUUCUUGAAAAAAAGUAAACAAAGGAUAUUUGAA
This 2589-nucleotide unclassified non-coding RNA is filed under the name Haliotis rubra (blacklip abalone). RNAcentral's name for it is "uncharacterized LOC124257767, transcript variant X7". Lineage: Eukaryota; Metazoa; Mollusca; Gastropoda; Lepetellida; Haliotidae. The record is from RNAcentral.